RNAcentral lists this long non-coding RNA (455 nucleotides) under Manihot esculenta (cassava). Its description in RNAcentral is "long non-coding RNA (MESC_LNC005795)". The record is from RNAcentral. Lineage: Eukaryota; Viridiplantae; Streptophyta; Magnoliopsida; Malpighiales; Euphorbiaceae.
ACAUUCGAUCCCAUGAGAGCCAAUUCAUCCCUCUCCCAUCUUCACGACAACCACCCCACCAAAAUUUAUUCAUCAUGACCUGUAGUUGACGGCAAGUGGAAACAGGUAAUAAAAAAAACAUUCAUGCAAUAUGUUGGAAUUGCCUGUAAUACAUAUUUAAUUAAUACUUCUCUGCCUGCACAAGAAAGAAAACGAUUACUCCAACUACUAAUACGUUUCCAAAUGUGAUCCCUCAAGAAAGAGAAAAUUUGCUUUUUACUACGGCCAAUAAGAGAUGGUAACCCCAAAUAAUUACCGCUACCCAAAGGAAGAUGAACAUCAAGUAUACCAGAGAUGGUCAACCGGUUUUCCUCAGACACACACGAACUAAACAUGAUACCAGAUUUAUCAAAAUUUACAGCCUGACCUGAAGCUUUCUCAUAAACACCAAGAAUUUGCUUAAUCCGUAUAGCUUC